CCAAUUAUUGAUGAUGGUCACAUUUCCUUGGUUGUUGUUUCCGUCAAGAUGAAGACGAAGUAUGUCCUUGACUCUGCUCCAGGUUUCCAUCAAAAGCAGGCAAAUACUGUGUUAAAGGAGCUGGAGUCAUAUUUGAGUAAGCACGACAUCGACAUCUCUUCGUAUGCUCACGAAAUUCCAGAUGUUGAGCCUCAAGACAACAAGAAAUGAAGAUAUAUGGCAUCACCUAGGCUGAGGUAUUAAAGUUCAGAAAGAAGCUUGUAAAACGCCUCCUGGAUGAUCCAAGGACCAAAGUCAAUGAAGCUGACAGUACAGUUGACACUGCCCACAGUACUGACACUGACAAGGUUGAGGAAGUUCCUCCUCCACACACUGACAAGGUUGAGGAACUUUGGGGUCCCAAUCAGUGCGAUGCCCACACAACAGUUGAUGCUAACGAGGCUGAGGAACUUCGGGGUGCCGUUAUAGCUGACACUGUCCAGGACAUUUCUCCUCGAGGCACUGUCCAGGACGAAGAGAUGGAUGAGGGCAUAGUUGUAGCUGACACUGCCCAUCAGUCUGAAGCCCACGUUUCUCCUCGAGACACUGUCCAGGACAGCACUCUAGCCGUUGUAGCUGACACUGCCCAUCAGCGC
Molecule: long non-coding RNA, 635 nt
Organism: Triticum aestivum (bread wheat)
Lineage: Eukaryota; Viridiplantae; Streptophyta; Magnoliopsida; Poales; Poaceae
Exons: 3
Source: RefSeq, a predicted model, not a curated record